UGGGGAAUUUUGCACAAUGGGGGAAACCCUGAUGCAGCGACGCCGCGUGAGUUAGAAGGCCUUCGGGUUGUAAAAAUCUUUUCUAGGGGAAGAAAAUGACAGUACCAUAGGAAUAAGGACCGGCUAAUUACGUGCCAGCAGCCGCGGUAAUACGUAAGGUCCGAGCGUUGUCCGGAAUCAUUGGGCGUAAAGGGUACGUAGGCGGGUAAGCAAGUUAGAAGUGAAAUCCUAUAGCUCAACUAUAGUAAGCUUUUAAAACUGCUCAUCUUGAGGUGUGGAAGGGAAAGUGGAAUUCCUAGUGUAGCGGUGAAAUGCGCAGAUAUUAGGAGGAAUACCGGUGGCGAAGGCGACUUUCUGGCCAUAACCUGACGCUGAGGUACGAAAGCGUGGGUAGCAAACAGG
Molecule: ribosomal RNA, 402 nt
Filed under: bacterium
Lineage: Bacteria
Description: partial 16S ribosomal RNA
Rfam family: Bacterial small subunit ribosomal RNA
Source: RNAcentral